RNAcentral lists this ribosomal RNA (668 nucleotides) under uncultured Rhizobiaceae bacterium. Its description in RNAcentral is "bacterial SSU rRNA". It matches the Rfam family "Bacterial small subunit ribosomal RNA", at positions 48 to 764 of the family's 1533-position model. The record is from RNAcentral. Lineage: Bacteria; Pseudomonadati; Pseudomonadota; Alphaproteobacteria; Hyphomicrobiales; Rhizobiaceae.
UUAACACAUGCAAGUCGAACGCCCCGCAAGGGGAGUGGCAGACGGGUGAGUAACGCGUGGGAACAUACCCUUUCCUGCGGAAUAGCUCUGGGAAACUGGAAUUAAUACCGCAUACGCCCUACGGGGGAAAGAUUUAUCGGGGAAGGAUUGGCCCGCGUUGGAUUAGCUAGUUGGUGGGGUAAAGGCCUACCAAGGCGACGAUCCAUAGCUGGUCUGAGAGGAUGAUCAGCCACAUUGGGACUGACACACGGCCCAAACUCCUACGGGAGGCAGCAUUGGGGAAUAUUGGACAAUGGGCGCAAGCCUGAUCCAGCCAUGCCGCGUGAGUGAUGAAGGCCUUAGGGUUGUAAAGCUCUUUCACCGGAGAAGAUAAUGACGGUAUCCGGAGAAGAAGCCCCGGCUAACUUCGUGCCAGCACCCGCGGUAAUACCAAGGGGGCUAGCGUUGUUCGGAAUUACUGGGCGUAAAGCGCACGUACGCGGAUAUUUAAGUCAGGGGUGAAAUCCCAGAGCUCAACUCUGGAACUGCCUUUGAUACUGGGUAUCUUGAGUAUGGAAGAGGUAAGUGGAAUUCCGAGUGUAGAGGUGAAAUUCGUAGAUAUUCGGAGGAACACCAGUGGCGAAGGCGGCUUACUGGUCCAUUACUGACGCUGAGGUGCGAAAGCGUGU